GGACGGUUAGCUCAGUUGGUAGAGCACUGUGUUCACAUCGCAGGGGUCACUGGUUCGAAUCCAGUACCGUCCACCA
RNAcentral lists this transfer RNA (76 nucleotides) under Parvibaculum sp. RNAcentral's name for it is "tRNA-Val". It matches the Rfam family "tRNA". From Rfam's summary of the family: Transfer RNA (tRNA) molecules are approximately 80 nucleotides in length. Lineage: Bacteria; Pseudomonadati; Pseudomonadota; Alphaproteobacteria; Hyphomicrobiales; Parvibaculaceae. RNAcentral also lists the same sequence under 1 other name. The record is from RNAcentral.